This 246-nucleotide ribosomal RNA is filed under the name uncultured bacterium. RNAcentral describes it as "partial 16S ribosomal RNA". It matches the Rfam family "Bacterial small subunit ribosomal RNA", at positions 118 to 347 of the family's 1533-position model. The record is from RNAcentral.
UGGGUAACCUGCCUCAAAGAGGGGAAUAGCCUCCCGAAAGGGAGAUUAAUACCGCAUAAUAUGUUUAGGUCGCAUGACUUUAACAUCAAAGGAUUUCUUUUAGAAAUUCCACUUUGAGAUGGACCCGCGGUGCAUUAGCUAGUUGGUGAGGUAACGGCUCACCAAGGCAACGAUGCGUAGCCGACCUGGAGGGGGUGAUCGGCCACAUUGGAACUGAGACACGGUCCAGACUCCGUACGGGAGCAG